This 406-nucleotide ribosomal RNA is filed under the name uncultured bacterium. RNAcentral describes it as "partial 16S ribosomal RNA". It matches the Rfam family "Bacterial small subunit ribosomal RNA", at positions 30 to 526 of the family's 1533-position model. The record is from RNAcentral.
AUUGAACGCUGGCGGCAGGCCUAACACAUGCAAGUCGAACGAGUGGCGGACGGGUGAGUAAUGUCUGGGAAACUGCCCGAUGGAGGGGGAUAACUACUGGAAACGGUAGCUAAUACCGCAUACCAUCGGAUGUGCCCAGAUGGGAUUAGCUAGUAGGUGGGGUAACGGCUCACCUAGGCGACGAUUCCUAGCUGGUCUGAGAGGAUGAACAGCCACACUGGAACUGAGACACGGUCCAGACGCCUACGGGAGGCAGCAGUGGGGAAUCUUGCACAAUGGGCGCAAGCCUGAUGAAGCCAUGCCGCGUGUAUGAAGAAGGCCUUCGGGUUGUAAAGUACUUUCAGCGAGGAGGCGUUACUCGCAGAAGAAGCACCGGCUAACUCCGUGCCAGCAGCCGCGGUAAUUC